RNAcentral lists this ribosomal RNA (253 nucleotides) under uncultured bacterium. Its description in RNAcentral is "partial 16S ribosomal RNA". It matches the Rfam family "Bacterial small subunit ribosomal RNA", at positions 524 to 776 of the family's 1533-position model. The record is from RNAcentral.
UACGUAGGGGGCAAGCGUUAUCCGGAAUUACUGGGUGUAAAGGGAGCGUAGUCGGUAAUGUAAGUCUGGAGUGAAAGGCGGGGGCCCAACCCCCGGACUGCUCUGGAAACUAUGUUACUAGAGUGCAGGAGAGGUAAGCGGAAUUCCUAGUGUAGCGGUGAAAUGCGUAGAUAUUAGGAGGAACACCAGUGGCGAAGGCGGCUUACUGGACUGUAACUGACGUUGAGGCUCGAAAGCGUGGGGAGCAAACAGG